AAAUUAUCAAAGAUACUUAUUAUUUGGCCACAACAUUUAAUAAUUUUUUAGACACCUAUUAUCACAGAAUAUAAUUUUUGCCAUCUUAAUUAUAUUGUUAAGUGUGUUGUUGGCAUGCUGUCUCAUUGAAAUAUACCUCAGAUCCUCUUUUAUCUUAUUCAAGAUUUUCAGAAAAGCAAUUUAAAAAUUUGUUAAAAGGUUUAUUCUCUAAAUAAAUAGAAUAAUUGGUCCAGUGAUCAAUGGAGAAUGUAAAUGAGAUGUGGUAAAAAUGCCAAUGAGAUGUGCUUAGAAUGCCAAUGAGAUGUGUUAAUACAACUAAUGAGAUGCUCUAAGAAUGCAAAUGAAAUGUGGUAAAAAUGCCAAUGAGAUAAAGCUAAAGAUAUGUUGUAAUAAUGCUAAUGAGAUGUGGUAAUAAAUCUAAUGAGAUGUGGUAAUAAAGCUAAUGAGAUGUGGUAAUAAAGCUAAUGAGAUGUGGUAAUAAAGCUAAUGAGAUGUGGUAAUAAUGCUAAUGAGAUGCGCUAAAAAUACUAAUGAGAUGUGGUAAUAAUGCCAAUGAGAUGUGGUUAGAAUUCCAAUGAGAUGUGGUUAGAAUGCCAAUGAGAACUAUCCACCAGAGAUUGAGCCACAAGGCUGCAAAAACUAUCUUUCUUUCAUGUGAAUUUUGUGUAUACUUUGUAUACUUUGUAAGCUCCCCUACAGCUGAUAGUUAACAUUUUCAUCAAAUUAUGAUUUAAAUUAUCCUUUCUUUAAAUAAAAUUAUUUGGUAAUUAAACUUUUUUAAAUAAACAUUGAAAAAGCUUCUAAAUUUUCUGAAAAAAUUACAUUAAAUAGGCACUUUUGAAUUUUUUGCCUAUUUAAAAAAAAAUAUACCAGUAAUGGCACAAGGACAGAAGAUGUGUGGAAUCAAAUAGGUAACAACUAUAGUGAUAAUGAAAUAUUCUAAUAAUAACCAGUUUUUUAAUGUCUUGACUUAAUGGACUUAUUGUAUGAUGAUAUAUGCGACCAGUUAGAAUAGUGGACAAUGAAAUAUUCAAACAUGGAACUGACUGAAGUUAAUAGACAUAAAAUUCAAAAUUGAAACCAGCAAGUGAAUUAUUUACAACGGCCAUGGAACCAGCAAGUGAAUUAUUGACAUUUAUUUUGAUGUGACCAGUAUUCAUGUGGAUGGACAGUACUAGUGGACUAUAAACUGAUAAAUCUCACAGAAAGGCACAUCACAACUGAGUCUGAAGCUGUUACAUACAAAAGACAAGAUAUCCAGGAAAUAAGAAUUGUAUGUGAUCUAUUUAAAGAUCUUAGGACAGUAGGACCUGGAAGUACUGUAUUACCAACUUCAAGAUUAACUGAGCUUGAGAAAUUACAAAUCAACUGAUACAGAAGAAGAGACUUUGCCAUGUGGAUGAACUUGGAAACAAUUAUUGACAAACAAUAUAGUGUAUUAGUAUUCUUGUACAAUUCAAUAGAGAGAGAGAGAGAGAGAGAGAGAGAGAGAGGAAGGAUAGGAGAGAGUCAGUUGUAAAGAUUUAUGUCUUUUUAACCAGACAUGUCGAUUACAUUAGAAUUUCAGAGGCCUACAGUUCUCCCUUAAAUGGUCAUAGUUAAUACAUGAAGUAGUUAAAGUAGAGGACUUUAGUGUGACCAGUGAAAACAAUCAGGCAGCUGCCAUUGGUUUAAAUCUCUUUUUUCGAAGAUGUUUUGGUUACAUUAGAAUAAAUCUGUGAGGAAUGACAAAAAAAAUGCUAAAUAAAUAAUUUGUGGUAUUUUGUACAGUUUCAUUAUGCAAUCUUGAAUACAUUUAUGAUUACUAUUUAUAAAGAAGUAUUAUCAUUAGAAUGAGGAUGGAAAAUGUUUAAACAUUUAUUUGAGACAGAGUUUUGCAUUAUUUCAUUAAAAUUAUUAAAUUCUUUUUGUGUGAAUGAAGGACAAACAGGGAAAACAGAAGCUAUUCUAUGAAUUUCAAAUUGUAUUUAUUUACAUUUGAUUGAUUAGUUGAAGAUUAACUACACGUAUUCAGCAUAGUACAAAAUUAAGGAUGCACUGCAAGUGUAUAUUAUCUUUAUAGUUAUCAUCACACUAUGUCCAAUCUAGAUGUACAACACUCUUUUUUAUAGUGUUCUGUAAAUUAUCAGGAACACCAGUUGUGAUGAAUGGGAAGACUGGCAGGCUGAGAAAUGGGUAUAAGGGGAGGGAAUACCCCUGCUUAUCUUUUCAUACUGGUUAGUUCCUUUGGUAAAGGUUUUGUACAAAUGUUGUUCAUAUCAGAUGUAUACUAUUUGAAGAGAGUUGUUAUUUGGAGCUCAAAAAAAAAAAAAAAAAAAAAAAAAAAAAAAAAGAAGAGAAAAAAAAGAA
This is a long non-coding RNA of Mytilus californianus (California mussel), 2349 nucleotides long. RefSeq lists it as uncharacterized. The record is from RefSeq and is a predicted model, not a curated record. NCBI's taxonomy places the organism in Eukaryota, Metazoa, Mollusca, Bivalvia, Mytilida, Mytilidae. The transcript has 3 exons.